GCAUGGACUUCUGAACACAUGAGAAGUUUGAACUUCUACUACAGUAGUCCUCUGGCUGUUCUGUAAACGUCCCUGACCAUCAGGUAUAUACUGACAUAAUCACACAGAGCCAGUGUGGAGCAAUGACCAGAGUUCACUUUGAAGUAUGGGCUUGUUACUUUCGCUCAGCCUAACCUCUCACAGGACUAUCAUGGCUGAAAUGCUAGUGUGUUCCACAGAGGAAGAGUAGAUUCAUAAAUGUGAUUAUUACUUUUGGCAUAGGGCCAUUGUAAUAUCAGACAGUUUGUGCAUACUGUAUGUUCUUCAGAUUUUGCAGCAAUUACUCCAGAGGAGAUACAGCAAGACUUUUUAAAGAUCCGACAAUCUCUAGUACCUACUUAAUGUAUGAAUAAUCACUAAUAACUGCAAAUAGUAUUUCUCUAGAGCUUUUAACUUCACUAACAGUACAGUACCUAGCAAUGAUGUGUCUCAGUUUUCCAGACAAAAUGUUCAGUCUUAUCUUUUUUGUGUUUGUUCUGUUAGAGACUGCUGUUUGAGUGCCUUCAGAAAGUGUCUUGAAGAUAGCUACUCAUGUCUAUUCAUUAAUCCAUGCUGAUUGGAAUGGGGUGGAGGCAGGUUCGAGACAGCUAUGAAGGCAAAUCCAGACUGAGCUCAUUCCUUCUUUCAGUGGCAGGGCCCUCUCUGUUGGCUUCCUGGCUGUGAUGUUCGGCGAGUCAAAAGCUGAAUUUGCUGCUCUAGCAUGUAGGAAGAGGCAUGCCUCUCUUUCCUCCAGGUGUAAGAGUUCACUUUUACUACACCUGGUUGAAUAAUCCCUUUAGCUUUAUCCAUGAAAAUACUUUGCACAUAGUUUGUGGAUUUUGGCCAUACAUAUGUACUGCCAACAGGAUCCCACGUGUUCUAACUCUUGUGCACCUGAGAAUGCACAUUUCAGUGAGGCCACAAUGUGCCUGAAACUCUCUUGGGUAAUGGAACAAAGAAUAAUGUAAGAUGCUGAAAGGAUAUUGAGUGGUCUGAACGAUUUUCUGCACACUGCUUCUCCAAAUAGUCAUCAACAAAACUAUGUUUCCUUAUGCAAUAUCUGGGAAUCGAUGCAAAAGGUCACAAACUGCGUAUAAAAGAGACAAAGCAUUUUACGAAAGAGGAAACAAACAAAAUAAUAAUCUCAUCAUUUAAAUGGAGAAUUUUAAUUGCUUCCCAACUGAAUAAAAUAUUGAGCAGCAGUGGCAUUACGCGUGCCUGUUUUUUAAAAAAAAUUAGUCAUUUUCAGAUAGAAGGCAGAAGAUUGUGGUCACAAGGAACAAUCUUGAUUUCUGCAUUUUGCUGUGCUGCCUGUGAGACCCUUGUUCUUUGACAAUGAUAGCUGUCUGGCAUGCAAAGGUAUAAUUUUAUAUUGUGCUCUGUCAAAAUAACUAGAUUGGUUUUGUAUUCCCAGAAAGGGCAAAAGGAAAGAAUUGACUUGAAUGGCAAAAAAGAAAGGAAGGGCUGUCCCAAAGUGGUCUGCUUUUUGUUGUUGUUUUAGCCUUCCCCUCCAAUAUGUGGCUCUUUUAGGGUACUAUUCUGUCAUCUAUUCUCUCCUAUUAACCUACACUAGACCGUAGUAUAUAAGGGAGACUAUAAGCUUGUUUUGGAUAGUGGUCCUAUUUAUGGCAUUUUCUUUUGCUAUGAGGUUGGACUGGCCAGAAUUAGUUGUGACCUCUAAUAAGAAAUACUCUCAUUUGUGAUUUCUGUUGUACUUUCAAUGUACAGAACACUUGAUGCCAUCAUUGUAUAUGUACCCUCUGAGACAGGUCAAAAUGAAUAGCCGUCUGGGACAUACAGUGCUGGUUGUUUGGCUAACAUUAGUAAUGGCUGAAGUGGAUCACAGGGUAUUCACCAACAGAGCUUCUUUCUGCAUGGAGAGCUUCGUGGCUACCUUGUGGGAGAUAUUAGCUGUUGAGGGAGGAGGACUUGUUUAACCAAUACAGUCAGUGGGUGAAGUUACGCCCUUUUUUGUACUCUGGACUGAAUGGCCUUACAACCCUGCACAAUCCUUAGACCAGAGCUUUCCAAUCUUUUCAUGCCAGUGACACACUUUUUAAAUACGCAUCAUUUCAUGACACAGUAAUUCAGUUUUACUAGCAAACCAGAAGCUAAACUAACCCCUUUCACAUAAGGCACCUACACACUGCAGCUGACACACUAAUGUGUCACAACACAUAGUUUGGAAAGCUCUGCUUUAGAUGAUAGAACGUAAUAUUUCACUUACUUCAGAAUACAGUGGUACCUCAGGUUACAUACGCUUCAGGUUACAGACUCCACUAACCCAGAAAUAGUGCUUCAGGUUAAGAACUUUGCUUCAGGAUGAGAACAGAAAUCAUGCUCCGGCGGCAGCAGGAGGCCCCAUUAGCUAAAGUUGGUGCUUCAGGUUAAGAACAGUUUCAGGUUAAGAACGGACCUCUGGAACGAAUUAAAUACUUAACCUGAGGUACCACUGUAUGGUAACCCAGCCCUGCUGUUUAGGGGGCCUUUCUGUUCAUUCUGUUGAGACUGGGGACCUCUGCUACAAAGCCCUGCCCAUAUGGCAUCAGCUGACCCAAUACAACAUUUUCCAUAUUUUGGGAGGGCAGGAACCUGAAACAUUAAUUACUGCUAGAGACAAUGCAUGGCUCAUUGACUGCACCAGCAGUGUAGUGGAAAGACAUUCGUACAUAUGGACUUGUGGAAACAAGCGAUCAGUCAAAAGCAAAGCCAGAACAAAAGAAGAGCCUAAGAGUGAUAUUGUAAACCAAUAUGCCUUAUGCUGAAGAUUACAACCAUUAUUAUGACAAAGACGAAAAAGUACAUGAGUGUGUACGUACGUAUGUAUUGUAUGUGUGUGUGCAUGAGCAUGUGUGUGUGCAUGCCAGUGUUUGUUUUGGUGAGGGCCUUCCCAUCUAGGAAAAAUUACAUACCUGAGUUUUUCCAGUACUAGUUGUCAUGGAAACAGAAUGAGUUUUACUGUAGGGUGCUUGCUGUGCUAUGGAAUAGGUUCUUUGUGCAUUCUAAUUGUAGGAGUUCAUUAAUAAUAACAUCUCUUACAUAACCUUAGCCCUGCUAAUAUCCCCAACCUAUUAUUACAAAAGGUGAACAGAGUUAUGUAAUGUGCAGGGUGCAUUGGACUCUCAAGAGCGAGCCAAUCUGAAGCCCUUUCUAGCUCCAAUAACUAUGUAAUGGAGUUUUAUGUACCUCAAAGCAAUUAUUUAGCAGUACUGUACAGUGAGGCUUCCAAAUCCAUAGUGACUUUUUCAAUGGCAACCAAAUGCCUACAGCAGUGAAUUGACUUAGAUCCCCUUCCCAUCAAGCUUAAUAUUCCAGAACCCUGGCUUAGAGCUUUGGAGACUUUGGAGACUUUGAUUUAGAUAUUAAUGAGUAACCCACAUGGCCACUUGCAAAAUCCAUUUAGUUCCAAAAAAAGUCUAUUCCAGGCUCUGUACUGGACCUAGACAUCAGGUAUUCAGAGGUAAAUAGAUAACUACGCUGCAUCCGAAGUGAGCUGCAAGAUACAUUUUUCCCCUGUUAAAUUUGACCUAUUAAGCAUCUAACCUCUGGGUUUCUUCCUUGAUUUUUAUUACCAUAUACACUCAAAUUCUAAAAUGUGUGUCCGUUUUAGUAGACUAAAGAUGUUUAGUCUGAGAAAGAGGUUAGAUUAUACCGAACUGGUAUAAAACUGAGGCACAUCUAUUAUGGCAUUGUGGAGAAAGAUAAAGUUUAGGAGCUCAGAUAACUCUUUGGUUUUUUUUAACCAAGUCAAGCUAUUUCUCCAUUUUCUGCUUCAGCUAGUCAGGGAUAAGGCUCUUUCGGUAGAUCCUAGUUCUUAUUUCUGGUUCCUAGUUCCUUACUGAAUAGUUUCUGCUUUCUUAUUUAAGAUCCAUCCUACACACAUUAGCAAUGAAAUCAAUUAUUUGGGCUGCAAUCAUACUUGGGAGUUUGAACACUGAGACUUAUUUCUGUUUCAACAUGAAUAGGAUUUACUCUACAUGGCAUCCAGAAUCAGACAGAAAUGGAUUUAGAUGCAGCCUGUAUAUAAAAAAACCCCUCAGGAUUUCAGCAACUCUGGGCCCCAAAUAAUGUUCAGGCCACUCCAAUCCAUGGCAUCACAACACUGUCCAACAUGAACUGCUCUGGUAUGCCUAACCCAAAGCUUAAUCUAGGGACAAACCUAGGCACAAGAUCUCCCUUGGUGAGCCACUAAGCAAAGCAAAUUCAGAACACUAUACUGUAAAAAUUUAUUAUAUAAUCUGGCCAUUAGAGGGAGCUUCAAUGGUUUUUUAUGAAUGGAACCAAACAACUUUCCUGGUUUGCUUGUGCUUCCACCAAGGCUGCAUACUUAUUGAAGCAACCAUAUGCAGACCAUUGUAGAUAAAUUAGAUUUCAGAAUACUAAACUACCUCUGACACUGGCAUUUACUUUACGAAACCUCAUUCCCCAAAAAAUCAGCAGGCUCAAAAGAACCAGUACUUUAUUUCGAUGGAUGCCUAUCUCAAGUGUGCAAACUGUAUUCUCCCAGUAAGUUCUAUAGUAUAUGAGCAAUGUUAAAUCUUUUGCAAAAAUUCAAAGGGGAUAAAUAUUUAUUAUAAUCCAUGUUUGUGAAUUAGUCUUUCUAUCCACAUUCUGCUCCUUUAAUUGGGUUUGGCCUGCCUUUUUAUUUAUUUAGAAAAUCCAAUCCCAAUUUUUCAAGUGUUUCUUCAUUACUCCUGCUUAUGACCAUAUUCCCAAGAGAAAUUUAGAAAAUACCUGGGGAGGCAGACUUACCUUUGUGACACUGGCAACAAUCAAUCUUCUCACACCUAUUUGCAUAAUUACAAGCCCUAUUGCCAGCCAUGGACACGGGUGGCGCUGUGGGUUAAACCACAGAGCCUAGGACUUGCUGAUCAGAAGGUCGGCGGUUUGAAUCCCCGCGACGGGGUGAGCUCCCGUUGCUCAGUCCCAGCUCCUGCCAACCUAGCAGUUCGGAAGCACAUCAAAGUGCAAGUAGAUAUAAUAAGUACCGCUCCGGCAGGAAGGUAAACGGCAUUUCCGUGUGCUGCUCUGGUUCACCAGAAGCGGCUUAGUCAUGCUGGCCACAUGACCCAGAAGCUGUAUGCCGGCUCCCUUGGCCAAUAAAGCGAGAUGAGCACCGCAACCCCAGAGUCGGUCACGACUGGACCUAAUGGUUAGGGGUCCCUUUACCUUUUUAUUGCCAGCCAUGCAAUACAGUUAGAUCAAAUGGUUGCCUAGCAACUGAUUGGCCCUCAGUGCUAAUUAACCUCACGUAGUUGAGGCCCUUGACUAUUUGUGCUGCACUGAGGUGCCCACCCUUCACCCCUGACAUUCAAAGGGGACAAUUAAUAGCAUUGGGAACAUAAAAAGCUCCCUUAUUCCAGGCUACACAACACCUCCAUCUAACCCCAGGGUACGUGGGGAACCUUCCACUUGAGGGCUGCAUUCCCUUCUGUAGAGACAUGCAAAAUAAAGUUUAUACACAUCUAAAUCCAAUAUUGUGGACUGUCAUUUCACUACCUGAAAACUCUCCACACAAUACAGUAUCUUUUAUUUUAGCUGUAUGUCUAGGGGAGCUAACCCAUGUCCCUUUGGAUGUUGUUAGAAUCCAACUUCCACGACCCCUGUAACUAUAUUAAAAAUGGUAAAGGUAAACGACCCCUGACAGUUAAGUCCAGUUGCAGACGACUCUGCGGUUGCAACGCUCAUCUCACUUUACAGACCGAGGGAGGUGGCGUUCGUCUGCAGUUUUUCUUAGUCAUGUGGCCAGCAUGACUAAGCCGCUUCUGGCGAAACCAGAGCAGCGCACGGAAACGCUGUUUACCUUCCUGCCGGAGCAGUACCUAUUUAUCUACUUGCACUUUUUGGCUUGCUUUCGAACUGCUAGGUUGGCAGGAGCUGGGACAGAGCAAUGGGAGCUCACCCCCUCAUGGGGAUUCGAACCGCCGACCUUCCGAUUGGAAUGCCCAAGAGGCUCAGUGGUUUAAACCACAGCGCCACCUGCAUCCAUGUAACUAUAUUGGGCACCUAAUUAAUUGCUGGGGUGUCGGAAGGGAUAGUACCUUUGGUGGGGGACAGUUCAUGCUCCUUCUGAGGUAGUUUGCCCACUACCCAGCUCUCCCCAGUGGCUCCUAGAAGCUGUCAGCAUGUGACAGCAGCCACACCCUAGGAAACUGCUUCAAUUGGCCGGCUAAAGAGGCAAGGGUAACCGAUGAGUCUCAAACCCUUGGUGAGUUAGGGACAGCCUCUCCUCUGCAUGUGAAGACAGACUCCAGUGGAUCACACAGAUGAGACCAAUAGUUGGUCCAGUGGUCAAGAAGGCGGUUUCUGAAUGUGCUGUAGAGGGAGGUGAGCGGCAGAUGGGGCUUGGCAACCCAGGUAGGUAGCCCAUCUAGAAGGAAAGCUGAUCCUAAACCUCUGCUGCCUUGUGGGGUAUCUUCAGGAAAAUAAAAAGCCAAGGACUAAACCCUACACAAAUCCAGAGGAGUUGCUAAGACGGCUGGAUGGCACCUUGUACGUCUCCUUCCAGCAAAUCCUGCAGCCAAGCUGGUGCCAAACAUAUUGCUCUGCUUUCCUUUGGAGCACAUCAGCAAGGUCGAGAGGGAGGUCCUGUCUUCUGGACAGCCCAGGACCUCUAUACACACUGACUGCCAAGGCUUUCACCCUUGCAAGGUCACUGCUGACAACGCAGCAGUUUGACUUCACCCCCAGAGGCACACUCCAUUAUCUCGAGACAGACAGAUGCCAACAGCAAUUAACUGCAAGCCACAAAAUGCUUGCCUCUCACGGAAGGGGAUUUUUUUUUAACUUGAGAGGAAUAAUAGAUUUAGAGCAAAGAAGUAACAGAGCUUCUAAAUGCUGCAAGCUACUUAUAAAUGGACUAAGGAGCUUAUUCAGUCAUUGUAUCUCCACAAGCUCAUUAGCUUGUUGCUGUAGUAGUCCGUGCUGUGGUUUAAGGCAGUUAAGGCAGGUUCCCAGGCACUCCCUGCUCAAAUAUAUAAGGAAAUAGUUGUAGGAAUCAGGUAGCUGGGAUGAAAAAAACAAAACAGGAUUCUAGAGAGAUUUGGGUAAUCCUUUAAGAAAUCGGAUGAAGAGUAAAGUCUUAUGAAAUCCAAACCAAAGCUGGCAUAACCAUAGAGACGCAAUUCAUGGGCAACUUGUACGCUGCUGCUUAAAAGUCAAACUAGGUGGGUUCUUGAUUCACAUGAAAACUCACUUGUAUGAAGCAUUACCCAUGUGAUUCAGCGAUAUUGAAGUACACCAGGGAAAUGUCCUUGGAAGCAUUUUCUUAUUACUCAAAUCACACAGGGCCCACAAGUUGUUUGUCAUACGGACAGUAGCCUUAUCUUCCAUGAAUUUAUCUGAUUCCCUUUCAAAGCCAUCCAGGUUGAUGGCAAAUUGCAAUCGCCACAUUCUCUGAUAACAAAUUCCAUAGUUAAACUGCACACUGUGUGUGUGAAUAAAUACUUCCUUCUGCUCCCAGCAUUCAGCUUCAUUGAAUAACCCCAGGUUCUAGGAUUAUGAGAGGGGGGGGAAACAGAACUUCCUGCCUACUUUCUCCACCCGCAUAACUUUCUGCCAGUCAUUUGGAAGACACAAGAGCUUCCCACACUGGAGGAAUGGCAGAUGAAACUGAUGGACUAUAUGGAACUGGCGGAAAUGACUGGUAGAAUCCGUGACCAGGGAGAAGAGUCGGUGGAGGAAGAUUGGAAGAAAUUCAAAGACUAUCUGCAGAAACAUUGCAAAAUUAAAGAAUGUUAGAGUGAUGUUGGAUUAAAAAUAAGUGGCUUCCAGCUGUUUAGGAUUUAAAAUUAUGGAUAGAUUAAGAUUAAGGAUUAGGAUUAAAAAAGUUUAAGGAAAUGGAAAUCUGGUUUUAAAAGGUAAAAUUUUAAUGUUAUAUUAUAUCAAGAGUUAAGAUUGGGAUUAAAAAAAGAGGGAAAGAAAUUGCUGGAUAAACAAUUUGAACUGGAAUACAAAAGAGGGAGGUACGAGGAGGUCCAGAAAAUAAGUAAAUUUAAAAAUGGAGACGAAAAGAUGAUACUGUUUGUAAUUGUUUUACUUUCUUUUUUGUCCUUUGUUUUUUUUGUUUCUUUAUUUUUCCUUUUUCUUUUAGAUUAUGUAUAGUAUAUUUUGAAUUGUGUAUUUCUUUUUUAUGUUUUAUGUUUAAUCUUUUAUUGAAACUUUAAUAAAUAUCAUUCAAAAAAACCAACAAAACUUUCUUCCAGUCAUGUGACAUCACAAUUAGGUCAUCUCGUUCUGUUCCCCCGUCUAAUGGGUUAGGAGAAGGUUGGCAAAGUGUAGGGGGCUCCGGGCUGUUCCCCCCCCCCCCGGGAGGUGGAGCUGUAGGCAGGGUUGGUGAGCAACAUGAGCGGGAUAGAGUUCCUAGUUAUUCUAUACAACUCUGGAGACAUGGUAAGGAAGAGCCAUCAGCCUACCAUUUAUUUAAGCUUUCUGUAAGAAAUUGUCUUAAGAACAUCCUGUUCUCAUUGAGCAACCAGAUGCCUCUGGAAAGCUCACAAGCAGGAUGUGAUCACAAUACCACCCUCUCAACGCUGUUGCCCAAUGCAAAGGCGUAAUACCUUUGAUCCUGUGAGUAGUAGCCACUGAUAGCUAUAUACACCAUGAAUUUGUUUAAUCCCCUUUUAGAGCUUCAAGGUGACAUCAGCAGAGUAACAUGCAAGAGCAAACACCCAGUCCAUCAGUUCACAGCUUCAGGGGAGAACCUCUGCUGGCUUACAUCUACAAAAAUCACCCAACUUCAGCCAUGCAACAUCUACCUGCUUCUUUUUAUAUUUUUUUAUUGCAUUUCACAAAACUAACAUUUUCUUUUUCUUUACAGAAGAACAAAGAACAGUUAAGUCCAACCUAGAAAGUUGUUGAAGAGAUGCAUACAUAAAAUGGGUAAGUACAACCGUAAUUCAAUUUAUACAUAUAUGCUAAUCAGGAAAUACAUAUUUCUUUUUUAGGUGCAGGUAAGAAGUCUUGUAAGUUGUCAGUUGGAACAUAAGAUAUAAAGUCCGACCAAAUCACAUGUACAUGUUCCACAGGUUCUUUGCCUCUGAUUACACCAAAUGUUGAAAGUUAAAUUUUUCAGCAAGAGACCAAAUAAUUUUGCACCACAAUGCAGGAGGAAAUUCAUGUUAAGUCUUCCAUUUUUGUGCUAUAGGUAGUAUUGCAACUGCCAGCCAUGAAGUUAAUAACUGUAUUAAAGAAAACUGUUUCAGAUUGUUAUCCCACACAUUUUUUAAUGCAAGUUGUGGGGUUGCCUGAUUUUCAGACUUUAAAAUUUGUGCAAUUUCUGUAAAUACCUCUUUCUUGUAACCAGGAUAGGCCUGGAUCUCCUGUAUUUAUUUUAAGUUGUUCUUUGGAUAACAGUUUGUCAUUAACAUGGAAAUCAUGGACUGUAAAUGGCGUUUCCCUGCCCCCCUCCCAUGAAAGGAUUGUACUACGCAAGGCUGAAUCCUGGACUUGAGGGUGAAAACUGUGGCAUUAGAGGCAAGUAUAACGGAGACU
Molecule: long non-coding RNA, 9510 nt
Filed under: Podarcis lilfordi (Lilford's wall lizard)
Lineage: Eukaryota; Metazoa; Chordata; Lepidosauria; Squamata; Lacertidae
Source: RNAcentral